GCAGGUGCAUCUGUCCAUCCAGUCUCCAGCUUACAAACCGACUAUACAGAUAAUGGGCAGAAACCAAUAGUGGACUCCACAGAUAAUGGCUAUAAACCAAGUGAAGUUUCACAUUUGGACCCUACAGGUA
This is a long non-coding RNA of Erpetoichthys calabaricus (reedfish), 130 nucleotides long. RefSeq lists it as uncharacterized. The transcript has 3 exons. The record is from RefSeq and is a predicted model, not a curated record. NCBI's taxonomy places the organism in Eukaryota, Metazoa, Chordata, Cladistia, Polypteriformes, Polypteridae.